Molecule: ribosomal RNA, 495 nt
Filed under: uncultured bacterium
Lineage: Bacteria
Description: partial 16S ribosomal RNA
Rfam family: Bacterial small subunit ribosomal RNA
Source: RNAcentral
GAUGAACGCUGGCGGCGUGCCUAAUACAUGCAAGUAGAACGCUGAAGGAGGAGCUUGCUCUUCUGGAUGAGUUGCGAACGGGUGAGUAACGCGUAGGUAACCUGCCUGGUAGCGGGGGAUAACUAUUGGAAACGAUAGCUAAUACCGCAUGACAACAGUUAUUGCAUGAUAACUGUUUAAAAGGGGCAACUGCUCCACUACCAGAUGGACCUGCGUUGUAUUAGCUAGUUGGUGAGGUAACGGCUCACCAAGGCGACGAUACAUAGCCGACCUGAGAGGGGGAUCGGCCAAACUGGGACUGGGACACGGCCCAGACUCCUACGGGAGGCAGCAGUAGGGAAUCUUCGGCAAUGGACGGAAGUCUGACCGAGCAACGCCGCGUGAGUGAAGAAGGUUUUCGGAUCGUAAAGCUCUGUUGUAAGAGAAGAACGAGUGUGAGAGUGGAAAGUUCACACUGUGACGGUAUCUUACCAGAAAGGGACGGCUAACUACGUG